Molecule: ribosomal RNA, 2010 nt
Filed under: Thelohanellus sinensis
Lineage: Eukaryota; Metazoa; Cnidaria; Myxozoa; Bivalvulida; Myxobolidae
Description: SSU rRNA
Rfam family: Eukaryotic small subunit ribosomal RNA
Source: RNAcentral
CCUGCCAGUCCAGCAAGCUAUUCUCGAAGAUUAAGCCAUGUAUGUGCCAAGUUCAUACGUUUUACGUGAGACUGCGGACGGCUCAGUAAAUCAGUGAUAAUCUAUUUGAUUGUCUAUCCCAUUGGAUAACCGUGGGAAAUCUAGAGCUAAUACGUGCAGUUCAUUGGUGCAUUCUUUAUAGUUGCACCAAAGCAUUUAUUAGACUAAACCAUCUACUGUGCUUUUGUACAGUAAGGGGAAUCUGGAUAACUUUGCUGAUCGUAUGGCCUAGUGCCGGCGACGUUUCAAUUGAGUUUCUGCCCUAUCAACUUGUUGGUAAGGUAUUGGCUUACCAAGGUUGCAACGGGUAACGGGGAAUCAGGGUUCGAUUCCGGAGAGGGAGCCUGAGAAACGGCUACCACAUCCAAGGAAGGCAACAGGCGCGCAAAUUACCCAAUCUAGACAGUAGGAGGUGGUGAAGAGAAUUACUAAGUAGUGGUCCUAAGGAUCACUUGUUUGGAAUGAACGUAACUUAAGAAAUUCGUUGAGAAACAACUGGAGGGCAAGUCCUGGUGCCAGCAGCCGCGGUAAUUCCAGCUCCAGUAGUUUGCUUUAAAGUUGUUGCGUUUAAAACGCUCGUAGUUGGAUCACGCAGCAGUGUUCAGUAAUCUUUUGUUCGACACCAUUCAGUGCGUCCGUUUCAAUACGGCCACCGUUGGUUCGUCAUUAGAUAACAAUGCUGGACACUGCUAGUUGCACGUGAGAUAGAUUGUUGGCCUUAAAUGUGCCGAUAUUCUUGUCUUGCGGGGUGUGCCUUGAAUAAAACAGAGUGCUCAAAGCGGGUUAUUGCCUGAAUGUUAUAGCAUGGAACGAACAAUCGUGUAUAUGUGUACGUCAUCAAAUGGUGAUGAGCCCUUGGUUCGUCGUUGUUUGAGGCGUGCACGGCACCCACCAAAAUAUGGCUGUUGGUUCCAUAUACGGUGAUGAUUAAUAGGAGCGGUUGGGGGCAUCAGUAUUUGGCCGCGAGAGGUGAAAUUCUUAGACCGGCCAAGGACUAACAAAUGCAAAGGCACUUGUCUAGACCGUUUCCAUUAAUCAAGAACGAAAGUGGGAGGUUCGAAGACGAUCAGAUACCGUCCUAGUUCCCACUGUAAACUAUGCCGACCUGGGAUCGGUUUAGAGAUGUUACAAGCUCUAGAUCGGUCCCCCUGGGAAACCUGAAGUUUUUCGGUUACGGGGAGAGUAUGGUCGCAAGGCUGAAACUUAAAGGAAUUGACGGAAGGGCACCACCAGGGGUGGAGCCUGCGGCUUAAUUUGACUCAACACGGGGAAACUUACCUGGUCCGGACAUCGAUAGGAUUAACAGAUCAAUAGCUCUUUUAUGAUCCGAUGAGUGGUGGUGCAUGGCCGUUCUUAGUUCGUGGAGUGAUCUGUCAGCCUAAUUGCGGUAACGAACGAGACCACAGUCUCCAUUUAAGAGAUGGAAGCAGGUCGGUCGCUACUUGAUUCCUCACGGUUUCAAUAGCGGCAGGCUGUAGGAAGGAUAAUUAUCUUUAUUGAUGGGCAUAACGGGGUAACUUGUUGUGUUUGUUGGUAGAGUGAGUUAUUUCUCCCUUCCAUCACGUAGUAAUUGGUUCACGUUGAUUGCUGCCUUAUGGAGAGACAACGAGGUAUAUACAAGCUCGAGGAAGAGUGGCUAUAACAGGUCAGUGAUGCCCUUCGAUGUUCAGGGCUGCACGCGCGCUACAAUGAUAACGACAACGAGUGUCUGCGUCGAAAGACGUGGGUAAUCUUUAAUCGUUAUCGUGAUGGGGAUCGACCGUUGUAAUUAUCGGUCGUGAAAGAGGAAUCCCUAGUAUGCGCAUUUUAUUAGAAUGUGCAGAUUGAGUCCCUGCCCUUUGUACACACCGCCCGUCGCUACUACCGAGUGAAUGGUGUCAUGAUGCGCUGGGACUGGACGUUGGAUGGAUUUUAGGAUUCGUCCGACGCUGGGAUCAGCGUAAAAUGGCGCAAUUUCGAGGAAGUAAAAGU